CCUACGGGAGGCAGCAGUCGAGAAUCAUUCACAAUGGGGGAAACCCUGAUGGUGCGACGCCGCGUGGGGGAAUGAAGGUCUUCGGAUUGUAAACCCCUGUCAUGUGGGAGCAAAUUAAAAAGAUAGUACCACAAGAGGAAGAGACGGCUAACUCUGUGCCAGCAGCCGCGGUAAUACAGAGGUCUCAAGCGUUGUUCGGAAUCACUGGGCGUAAGGCGUUCGUAGGCUGUUUCGUAAGUCGUGUGUGAAAGGCGCGGGCUCAACCCGCGGACGGCACAUGAUACUGCGAGACUAGAGUAAUGGAGGGGGAACCGGAAUUCUCGGUGUAGCAGUGAAAUGCGUAGAUAUCGAGAGGAACACUCGUGGCGAAGGCGGGUUCCUGGACAUUAACUGACGCUGAGGCACGAAGGCCAGGGGAGCGAAAGGGAUUAGAUACCCGAGUAGUC
This 446-nucleotide ribosomal RNA is filed under the name uncultured bacterium. Its description in RNAcentral is "partial 16S ribosomal RNA". It matches the Rfam family "Bacterial small subunit ribosomal RNA", at positions 338 to 795 of the family's 1533-position model. The record is from RNAcentral.